UGAGGAAUAUUGGUCAAUGGGUGCAAGCCUGAACCAGCCAUCCCGCGUGAAGGACGACUGCCCUAUGGGUUGUAAACUUCUUUUGUAUAGGGAUAAACCUACCCUCGUGAGGGUAGCUGAAGGUACUAUACGAAUAAGCACCGGUUAACUCCGUGCCAGCAGCCGCGGUAAUACGGAGGGUGCAAGCGUUAUCCGGAUUUAUUGGGUUUAAAGGGUCCGUAGGCGGACUUAUAAUUCAGUGGUGAAAGCCUGUCGCUUAACGAUAGAACUGCCAUUGAUACUGUAAGUCUUGAGUAUAUUUGAGGUAGCUGGAAUAAGUAGUGUAGCGGUGAAAUGCAUAGAUAUUACUUAGAACACCAAUUGCGAAGGCAGGUUACCAAGAUAUAACUGACGCUGAGGGACGAAAGCGUGGGGAGCGAACA
This 422-nucleotide ribosomal RNA is filed under the name uncultured bacterium. Its description in RNAcentral is "bacterial SSU rRNA". It matches the Rfam family "Bacterial small subunit ribosomal RNA", at positions 355 to 774 of the family's 1533-position model. The record is from RNAcentral.